RNAcentral lists this ribosomal RNA (252 nucleotides) under uncultured bacterium. Its description in RNAcentral is "partial 16S ribosomal RNA". It matches the Rfam family "Bacterial small subunit ribosomal RNA", at positions 524 to 776 of the family's 1533-position model. The record is from RNAcentral.
UACGUAGGGGGCGAGCGUUGUCCGGAUUUAUUGGGCGUAAGGGGUACGCAGGCGGCCAUGUCAGUCAGGUGUGACAUUCUAUAGCUUAACUAUAGUAAGCACUUGAAACUGUGUGGCUUGAGUUAAGGAGAGGAAAGUGGAAUUCCUAGUGUAGCGGGGAAAUGCGUAGAGAUUAGGAGGAAUACCAGUGGCGAAGGCGACUUUCUGGACUUAUGCUGACGCUGAGGUACGAAAGCGUGGGGAGCAAACAGG